UGGUGGCGACCGGCGCACGGGUGAGUAACGCGUAUGCAACCCACCUAUCAGAGGGGGAUAACCCGGCGAAAGUCGGACUAAUACCUCAUAAAACAGGGGCACCGCAUGGUGAUAUUUGUUAAAAAUUUAUUGCUGAUAGAUGGGCAUGCGUUCCAUUAGGUAGUUGGAGAGGUAACGGCUCACCAAGCCUACGAUGGAUAGGGGAACUGAGAGGUUGGUCCCCCACACUGGUACUGAGACACGGACCAGACUCCUACGGGAGGCAGCAGUGAGGAAUAUUGGUCAAUGGGCGAGAGCCUGAACCAGCCAAGUCGCGUGAAGGAAGAAGGAUCUAUGGUUCGUAAACUUCUUUUGCAGGGGAAUAAAGUGCAGGACGUGUCCUGUUUUGUAUGUACCCUGAGAAUAAGGAUCGGCUAACUCCGUGCCAGCAGCCGCGGUAAUACGGAGGAUCCGAGCGUUAUCCGGAUUUAUUGGGUUUAAAGGGUGCGUAGGUGGUUUAAUAAGUCAGCGGUGAAAGUUUGCAGCUUAACUGUAAAAAUGCCGUUGAAACUGUUAGACUUGAGUGUAAAUGAGGUAGGCGGAAUGCGUGGUGUAGCGGUGAAAUGCUUAGAUAUCACGAAGAACUCCGAUUG
This 632-nucleotide ribosomal RNA is filed under the name uncultured Porphyromonadaceae bacterium. Its description in RNAcentral is "bacterial SSU rRNA". It matches the Rfam family "Bacterial small subunit ribosomal RNA", at positions 86 to 715 of the family's 1533-position model. Lineage: Bacteria; Pseudomonadati; Bacteroidota; Bacteroidia; Bacteroidales; Porphyromonadaceae. The record is from RNAcentral.